GGAGGUUAAAAUUCUAUAUAUGGUAAAAAAUUCUAUGUAACUCCAAAAACUCUAACAAUGCUACUGCUACUACACUAGGAAUACUCCAACCUAAUCCAAGAACCACAAAAAGUUUUAUGUAACCUGAGAGAAGAUUUCAAGGCGAACUUCCUAUUUCUUCUUCAGAUAAUGGCAACGGAUCAGAGACUUCAGCCAGAGAUUCAAGCAUACUUAUGACUUCGGCCGUGUCAUC
This 232-nucleotide unclassified non-coding RNA is filed under the name Hevea brasiliensis (rubber tree). Lineage: Eukaryota; Viridiplantae; Streptophyta; Magnoliopsida; Malpighiales; Euphorbiaceae. The record is from RNAcentral.